GACGAACGCUGGCGGCGUGCCUAAUACAUGCAAGUAGAACGCUGAAGAGAGGAGCUUGCUCUUCUUGGAUGAGUUGCGAACGGGUGAGUAACGCGUAGGUAACCUGCCUGGUAGCGGGGGAUAACUAUUGGAAACGAUAGCUAAUACCGCAUAAAAUGGAUUAUCGCAUGAUAAUCCAUUGAAAGGUGCAAAUGCAUCACUACCAGAUGGACCUGCGUUGUAUUAGCUAGUUGGUGGGGUAACGGCUCACCAAGGCGACGAUACAUAGCCGACCUGAGAGGGUGAUCGGCCACACUGGGACUGAGACACGGCCCAGACUCCUACGGGGGGCAGCAGUAGGGAAUCUUCGGCAAUGGACGGAAGUCUGACCGAGCAACGCCGCGUGAGUGAAGAAGGUUUUCGGAUCGUAAAGCCCUGUUGUAAGAGAAGAACGAGUGUGAGAGUGGAAAGUUCACACUGUGACGGUAUCUUACCAGAAAGGGACGGCUAACUACGUG
This 497-nucleotide ribosomal RNA is filed under the name uncultured bacterium. RNAcentral's name for it is "partial 16S ribosomal RNA". It matches the Rfam family "Bacterial small subunit ribosomal RNA", at positions 28 to 507 of the family's 1533-position model. The record is from RNAcentral.